ACGCUGGCGGCAGGCCUAACACAUGCAAGUCGAGCGGAAACGACACUAACAAUCCUUCGGGUGCGUUAAUGGGCGUCGAGCGGCGGACGGGUGAGUAAUGCCUAGGAAAUUGCCUUGAUGUGGGGGAUAACCAUUGGAAACGAUGGCUAAUACCGCAUAAUGCCUACGGGCCAAAGAGGGGGAUCUUCGGACCUCUCGCGUCAAGAUAUGCCUAGGUGGGAUUAGCUAGUUGGUGAGGUAAUGGCUCACCAAGGCGACGAUCCCUAGCUGGUCUGAGAGGAUGAUCAGCCACACUGGAACUGAGACACGGUCCAGACUCCUACGGGAGGCAGCAGUGGGGAAUAUUGCACAAUGGGCGAAAGCCUGAUGCAGCCAUGCCGCGUGUAUGAAGAAGGCCUUCGGGUUGUAAAGUACUUUCAGUUGUGAGGAAGGGUGURUMGUUAAUAGCUGCRYAUCUUGACGUUAGCAACAGAAGAAGCACCGGCUAACUCCGUGCCAGCAGCCGCGGUAAUACGGAGGGUGCGAGCGUUAAUCGGAAUUACUGGGCGUAAAGCGCAUGCAGGUGGUUCAUUAAGUCAGAUGUGAAAGCCCGGGGCUCAACCUCGGAACUGCAUUUGAAACUGGUGAACUAGAGUGCUGUAGAGGGGGGUAGAAUUUCAGGUGUAGCGGUGAAAUGCGUAGAGAUCUGAAGGAAUACCAGUGGCGAAGGCGGCCCCCUGGACA
RNAcentral lists this ribosomal RNA (723 nucleotides) under Vibrio sp. 14A10. RNAcentral describes it as "bacterial SSU rRNA". It matches the Rfam family "Bacterial small subunit ribosomal RNA", at positions 33 to 735 of the family's 1533-position model. The record is from RNAcentral. Lineage: Bacteria; Pseudomonadati; Pseudomonadota; Gammaproteobacteria; Vibrionales; Vibrionaceae.